This 89-nucleotide transfer RNA is filed under the name Streptomyces lavendulae subsp. lavendulae. RNAcentral's name for it is "tRNA-Ala". RNAcentral also lists the same sequence under 1 other name. Lineage: Bacteria; Bacillati; Actinomycetota; Actinomycetes; Kitasatosporales; Streptomycetaceae. The record is from RNAcentral.
CGGCCUUGUGGGCGAGGGUGGGCGCGGCGGUCUGCUUGGCGAGCGGGACGGAGAUCGCGAAGCCGUUGUUCUGGACGAGGAAGACCACC